CGCGAUUUCGUAUAAUGGUUAGUACACCAGAUUCUGAUUGCAAUAUACAAUCUUCUGGUAAUCUGGGUUCGAUUCCCAGAAUUGCGU
This is a non-coding RNA of Filobasidium floriforme, 87 nucleotides long. NCBI's taxonomy places the organism in Eukaryota, Fungi, Basidiomycota, Tremellomycetes, Filobasidiales, Filobasidiaceae. The record is from the annotation of a RefSeq genome assembly.